Molecule: unclassified non-coding RNA, 393 nt
Filed under: soil metagenome
Description: partial contains 5.8S ribosomal RNA, internal transcribed spacer 2, and large subunit ribosomal RNA
Rfam family: 5.8S ribosomal RNA (bases 1-122)
Source: RNAcentral
GAUGAAGAACGUAGCAAAAUGCGAUACUUGGUGUGAAUUGCAGAAUCCCGUGAACCAUCGAGUCUUUGAACGCAAGUUGCGCCCGAAGCCACUAGGCCGAGGGCACGCCUGCCUGGGCGUCACACGUCGUUGCCCCCCCCCCAUCUACUCCUUCGGGAUUGCGGGGGGCGGAUGAUGGCCUCCCGUGCGCCUAGCCGCGCGGUUGGCAUAAAUACCAAGUCCUCGGCGACGCACGCCACGACAAUCGGUGGUUGCGAAACCUCGGUUGCCCGUCGUGUGCGUUCGUCGCGCAUCGAGGGCUCGAAAAAAUGCUCGGCUCCGGCUCGGCUUUCAACGCGACCCCAGGUCAGGCGGGGUUACCCGCUGAAUUUAAGCAUAUCAACAAGCGGAGGA